RNAcentral lists this long non-coding RNA (717 nucleotides) under Populus tremula. Its description in RNAcentral is "long non-coding RNA (PTRE_LNC003214)". The record is from RNAcentral. Lineage: Eukaryota; Viridiplantae; Streptophyta; Magnoliopsida; Malpighiales; Salicaceae.
GAGAAUAAAUGGGAAGUAGGAAAUAAAAUCCAAGUCAACAAUAGAUUACAAAUGAUUACAAUCCAAUUACGGUAAGGAGGUGUAUGAAACAAACGGUGCUUAAUACAACACUGAAUGAAAUCCUCCAUUUGAUUAUACCAGAAUGCCCUUCGAUUUGAUUCCAAAAAUAUGAAGGGAAAAUCUUCAAAUGCACAAAGUAAAUCGGAACCCACAGUGAAGUAGCUCUUCAGUAUCUUCUAAGCCCAAGCUGUCAAACACAGACCAAAAGCAAACGUGUCAUAACCAAAAUAACCCAAUGAAUGGUAGAUGUUAAAAUGAGCAUUCCAUUUUCUGAAUGAAAAAAAUCCCAGUGACCUAGCUAUGACUUACAUAAUUAAUUAAAAUGGAUUUGUUAAAAUAUAGUAAAAUAUUAUACCGUUAAGAAUUAACACUGGUAGAAGAAUUUGUUGGGCGGAAUCCAGCGAUCGGUGAUGAACUGAUUAUUACUUAACGGAGGGGCAAGCACACUGACAACAAUAUUUUACGUGGUUCGGCAAAAUCACCUACAUCCACGGGAGAGAGUCCAUUUAUUAGAGAUUAGAAAAAGGAUAUAAUAAAUAUAUAGAGGAGGAUCUAAUCACUCAACUCCCAUCUCUCUUGCUGUCCUUGCAGCUGCUGCAAUGGCUGCUGCCAUUGCAGCUCUCUUUUUCUCUCUAUCCUCUUACGUUUCUCACACAC